CCCUUGUAGGUUUGUGCGUGUGUGGAAAGAGAUAUCUUGAAGUUAUACUUCGCCAUAAAACUUAGCGCAUUGCGGUAUGAGAGAGAAGGAAUAAAUUAGCAUAAUUAUUUUUUGUGCUCUAAAUUCAGCAUUUUUUGUAUGUUUAGUGAAAAUACCAUUAUCUAACCUUAUUCAUGUGGCGCGGUCAGGCAGUGACUUCCUUGUUGUGGGAAUAAAAUCAAAAUGGUAGUUUCUGGUGUAAAUAAAGAGAAGCUAUAGAUUUUGUGGCUACAUACAUCUUCCAUAAUUCACACUCAGAAGUCUGACAGGUCAAACAGAAUCAUUCAAGCUAUAACUUACAACUGGUAAUACUUAGCCAGCAUUAGGAGAAAUAAUCUCUCUAUAGGUGAUCAAGUCGUGCACUUUCACUACCUGGUGGAUUAUAAUGUAAGUAAUCAAAUUUAUUAGUUUUAAUUACUACGAUUUGGGAAUAUCAUGUUCCUUAUAGCAUUACUAGCAUGUUUUUUAUUAUCUAGUUCAUGUUUUCUAUUUUAUCAAACAUGCCUUGUGGUAAAAACAUUUUGGAUAGCAUAGUCCUAGAGAUUUUCAAAAAGUGGGAGGAUUUUUUGUAGAUAUUUUAGUGGUUGAGUGAAACACAUGGGGAAAUUAUGUCAGAACUCACCUCAAAUUAAAUUUAUGUCUUGUUCCUUCAGAACAAUAGGUCUAAAAAGCAAACCUUGUAGCUAACUGUUAUGCUGUUUUGCAUAA
Molecule: long non-coding RNA, 747 nt
Organism: Hydractinia symbiolongicarpus
Lineage: Eukaryota; Metazoa; Cnidaria; Hydrozoa; Anthoathecata; Hydractiniidae
Exons: 3
Source: RefSeq, a predicted model, not a curated record